CGUUUCGAGUGGAAUUCCGAACCCACCCCCGGGAGCCCUCCCGAGUCCCAGCCCGAAUCGGAGCGCGGGGCGGAGUCUGCACCGCCGAUCUGAGAAUAUGGCAUUUAAUAUAAAAGCUUUUCUAUAAUAAAGAGACAUGCCAGCUCCUGACAGCAUCCUGCAUCUCCUCCAAGAAGACGGACGGCCACAGAAAAACUUCCACCGGAAGCUCAUGGCAAGGCUGGCCACGCAGUGAAAAGCUGAGAUCCCGUCCAGACUGAACAAGUGGAACAAUGGAGGACCAAUUGCCCCAUACUGCAAAGUCAAGAUUCACUGUUCCCACCUGACCUCCAGAGAAACAGCAGAUGCCAUGGCUUCUCUACUCCUGAUUUGGAGUGUCACUUCCCCCCAAGCUCCUGGAACACCAUUGCUGCAACCUGCCUCCUCACCUCCCUCAAGGAACGUUCCUGAGACCUUCUGCCAUGCGUGACUCCUGGUUCCCCCGUCCCUACUUCGCCCCUUGUCAGUUUGAAGUAGCCUUGAGAAUUCAGGGCCCUUGUUCCCCCACUUGCUUCCCUAAUUCACCUAAUUUACCUCUUUUUAUAAUAGUUAAAAUGGAGGAAUGUUAAUAUUCUGAUUCGCCCCUCUAAAUCCCACCCCUUGGUGCUGCCCUGUGUCCUGAUGUGAAAGCCUCAUUCUAAGGAAAAACUCCUCUUCUUGCUCUCACUCUCUUCCACUUUUCCUCCCACGAGGUGCACACCCUCAACUUCUCUUCUUUUCUCUCUUUCCUAUCUUUCUCUUCAUCUCUCUAUUAUAAUACUCUCCAUGUGGAUGCGGCAUCUGGGUUGUGAAUUACUGCCACCACUGCUGCCAUGCCUGCAUGGUGUACAUCUGCCCAGCAUGUUUCCCUGCGUGCGUGGGAUACUGUCAGGGGUCCAUCCCCCCAUCCCCCAGCAAUAAUUCAUAACACAGUUUACGAACUUUUUUUGGAAGCAUGUUCUCAUGUAGCCCAGGCUGGUCUUGAACUCCAUGAAGCUAAGGAUGAACUUGAACACCCUCCCCCCCAACACACACACACCCCACACAAGGUUUCUGUGUAGCCCUGGCUGUCCUGGAACUCACUCUGUAGACCAGGCUGCCUUUGAACUCAGAUGUCUCUGCCUCUGGAGUACUGGGAAAAAGGCAUGUGCCCCCCACCUCCCAUAUCUGGUAAAUUCACUGAGCUCUUAAGGUAGAUAAAUCAACUGUCUUCAUUUUACAUAAAAAGGAAAUUAGGUCAGUGAA
Peromyscus californicus insignis is the source of this 1263-nucleotide long non-coding RNA. RefSeq lists it as uncharacterized. NCBI's taxonomy places the organism in Eukaryota, Metazoa, Chordata, Mammalia, Rodentia, Cricetidae. The record is from RefSeq and is a predicted model, not a curated record. The transcript has 3 exons.